RNAcentral lists this ribosomal RNA (643 nucleotides) under Debaryomyces hansenii. RNAcentral's name for it is "eukaryotic LSU rRNA". It matches the Rfam family "Eukaryotic large subunit ribosomal RNA", at positions 1 to 664 of the family's 3401-position model. Lineage: Eukaryota; Fungi; Ascomycota; Pichiomycetes; Serinales; Debaryomycetaceae. The record is from RNAcentral.
GUGAGGGCCCUCUGGGUCCAACCUCCCACUUGCAUAUCAAUAAGCGGAGGAAAUGAAACCAACAGGGAUUGCCUUAGUAACGGCGAGUGAAGCGGCAAAAGCUCAAAUUUGAAAUCUGGCACCUUCGGUGUCCGAGUUGUAAUUUGAAGAAGGUAACUUUGGAGUUGGCUCUUGUCUAUGUUCCUUGGAACAGGACGUCACAGAGGGUGAGAAUCCCGUGCGAUGAGAUGCCCAAUUCUAUGUAAAGUGCUUUCGAAGAGUCGAGUUGUUUGGGAAUGCAGCUCUAAGUGGGUGGUAAAUUCCAUCUAAAGCUAAAUAUUGGCGAGAGACCGAUAGCGAACAAGUACAGUGAUGGAAAGAUGAAAAGAACUUUGAAAAGAGAGUGAAAAAGUACGUGAAAUUGUUGAAAGGGAAGGGCUUGAGAUCAGACUUGGUAUUUUGCGAUCCUUUCCUUCUUGGUUGGGUUCCUCGCAGCUUACUGGGCCAGCAUCGGUUUGGAUGGUAGGAUAAUGACUAAGGAAUGUGGCUCUACUUCGGUGGAGUGUUAUAGCCUUGGUUGAUACUGCCUGUCUAGACCGAGGACUGCGUCUUUUGACUAGGAUGUUGGCAUAAUGAUCUUAAGCCACCCGUCUUGAAACCACGG